RNAcentral lists this ribosomal RNA (468 nucleotides) under uncultured bacterium. RNAcentral's name for it is "partial 16S ribosomal RNA". It matches the Rfam family "Bacterial small subunit ribosomal RNA", at positions 28 to 507 of the family's 1533-position model. The record is from RNAcentral.
GACGAACGCUGGCGGCGCGCCUAACACAUGCAAGUCGAACGGAACUGCGAGAAGCUUGCUUUUCUUAGCUUAGUGGCGCACGGGUGAGUCACGCGUGAGUACCCUGCUCUGGAGUGGGGGACCACAGUUGGACACGACUGCUAAUCCCGCAUGAGCCCACGAUCCGGGAUCGGGUUUAGGGAAAAGGGUUUAUUCGCUUCAGGAUGGACGCGCGUCCACUUGUCUAGUGGGUGAGGUAACGGCACACCAAGGAGGCGAUUGGUAGCCGGAAUGAGAGGCGGACCGGUUACAAUGGGACUGAGACACGGACCAGACUCCUACGGGAGGGAGGAGUGUGGUAUAUUGCGCGAGGGGGGAAACCGUGAUGAAGCGACGCGGGGGGGAGGGAGAAGGGUUUCGGAUUGUAAAUUCCCGUCGGAAGGGACGAGAAUGACGGUACCUAGCAAGAAAGCACCGGCUAACUACGUG